UGGGCGAGCACACAAUGUCGAUCAUGGAAGGCGGCAGCACAGGGAUGUAGGUGUGCUGCCAGGUGAAGGGGUACAGGAGGGCCACUGUAGCAUGGCAGCACUUGGAGAGGGUGCUGAGCUUGUCUGCGAUGAAGAUCACCCUUCUUUCCAGGAGCAGGGAGGCGAAGACCCUGCUCAGGUGCCGCACGCUGAGGGAUGCAAACAAGGACUCAAAAUCAACGUGCUCAAGCCUGGAGUCAAGAGGCCGCCGCAGCUCAAUGACCUCUGUCCCUGAGCCUGGCAAGAAGUUCUUGACUGUAAUUG
This 303-nucleotide long non-coding RNA is filed under the name Gallus gallus (chicken). Lineage: Eukaryota; Metazoa; Chordata; Aves; Galliformes; Phasianidae. The record is from RNAcentral.